AACCGAAUUGGAAAUUCAUUUCAUUAAAUUUCAAGGUCAGUCCAAGGCCCACUGAUGUCAAGCCGAGAGAUUAGCCCAUCUCACAAAAAAACAAUAGCCAAUAUUUAUUUUCCAAAAAAAUAUGGUACAGUAUAAUAAACGAUAAACACAUGACAACACAACACUUUAUUAUUAUACAAAUGAAAGAAAGACAACAACACUUUACAGAUCAGGUAAAAAAACGGUUUACAGAUAACUCCGAAUAAUAUUGUAGCAUAUAUCCCAGAUAUUCAAUCUACAACAUGUCCCAGAUAUUCUGGGGCGGAGCCUUCAAAAAAGAUAUUCUCCAGUGGAGAACAGCGCCGACGUCAGAGACGCCAUAUCUACCACCAUAUUGACCCUACCCAUGCUCCUGAGUAGCCGAUCUCCAGCGACGAGAACAUGCAAUAGUUGUUGCCUGCACGUAUACAACCAAAUACUAUCUAAAAAAUUCUGAAAUAAAAACCCGCAAAAAAUCAGAAAUAAAACACAGUGAACUCGAAACGGUGAGGCAACCGACUGACAUCCCGCUGGGUCGAGGCCUCGAGGGACAAGCUGGGGGUGAGGACGCCGUCUGCGACGGACGCCAUUGAAGAAGGGACGACAGCAUCCCAGCACAACGGAGCCGCCUCAGCCAGGCGCCUGUAGAGUGCCGACUCGAUGCGGCUCGCUUGGUGCCUCAGCGCGGCAGCAUCGGACAGAGAUGGGCGGCCUGAACCGUGGCUGUGUUGCUGCCUUCCUAACCUGCACAUGACGAGAGGUGAGAUUAGUGAAAGAAUCCGGCGAUUAAGAGCAUGCGGCUGGGCGGGUUGCCGCUCAUGUACCGAUUGCGAUUGGGACAUAUCCUGCCAUAUCGAGCACGCAUCCAGAACAACGCUUACCAGCGACAGCUGCCUCUGCCGCGGCUCAACGAACCAUCUCGCUAGCGCCAUAUCCUGCCGUCCGCCGCCGCUCGGACAGUGGAGUCAUCGCUUCCCUUCGCGUUCGGUGGCAACGCCCACCACGACGCAGCUCCCCGGGGACGAGUCGGUGCGGCCCCCCGAAAUCCAGGCGCACACCACCGCACGGUGUGGGUCGGCCUGGACGUCGCGGCGUCGAUACUUGCCCCAGUGUGGACUCGGAGCCGAGAGAAGCAGCUAGGAGGGGACGGAAGGCAGCGACUGGAGAAGGAGAUGGAGAAAGGAAGGCACUGGAUGCCGG
Molecule: long non-coding RNA, 1218 nt
Filed under: Triticum aestivum (bread wheat)
Lineage: Eukaryota; Viridiplantae; Streptophyta; Magnoliopsida; Poales; Poaceae
Description: long non-coding RNA (TAES_LNC015776)
Source: RNAcentral